GCGGCAGGCCUAACACAUGCAAGUCGAGCGGUAGCACAGAGAGCUUGCUCUCGGGUGACGAGCGGCGGACGGGUGAGUAAUGUCUGGGAAACUGCCUGAUGGAGGGGGAUAACUACUGGAAACGGUAGCUAAUACCGCAUAAUGUCGCAAGACCAAAGUGGGGGACCUUCGGGCCUCAUGCCAUCAGAUGUGCCCAGAUGGGAUUAGCUAGUAGGUGGGGUAACGGCUCACCUAGGCGACGAUCCCUAGCUGGUCUGAGAGGAUGACCAGCCACACUGGAACUGAGACACGGUCCAGACUCCUACGGGAGGCAGCAGUGGGGAAUAUUGCACAAUGGGCGCAAGCCUGAUGCAGCCAUGCCGCGUGUGUGAAGAAGGCCUUCGGGUUGUAAAGCACUUUCAGCGGGGAGGAAGGCGAUAAGGUUAAUAACCUUGUCGAUUGACGUUACCCGCAGAAGAAGCACCGGCUAACUCCGUGCCAGCAGCCGCGGUAAUACGGAGGGUGCAAGCGUUAAUCGGAAUUACUGGGCGUAAAGCGCACGCAGGCGGUCUGUCAAGUCGGAUGUGAAAUCCCCGGGCUUAACCUGGGAACUGCAUUCGAAACUGGCAGGCUAGAGUCUUGUAGAGGGGGGUAGAAUUCCAGGUGUAGCGGUGAAAUGCGUAGAGAUCUGGAGGAAUACCGGUGGCGAAGGCGGCCCCCUGGACAAAGACUGACGCUCAGGUGCGAAAGCGUGGGGAGCAAACAGGAUUAGAUACCCUGGUAGUCCACGCCGUAAACGAUGUCGAUUUGGAGGUUGUGCCCUUGAGGCGUGGCUUCCGGAGCUAACGCGUUAAAUCGACCGCCUGGGGAGUACGGCCGCAAGGUUAAAACUCAAAUGAAUUGACGGGGGCCCGCACAAGCGGUGGAGCAUGUGGUUUAAUUCGAUGCAACGCGAAGAACCUUACCUGGUCUUGACAUCCACAGAACUUUCCAGAGAUGGAUUGGUGCCUUCGGGAACUGUGAGACAGGUGCUGCAUGGCUGUCGUCAGCCCGUGUUGUGAAAUGUUGGGUUAAGUCCCGCAACGAGCGCAACCCUUAUCCUUUGUUGCCAGCGGUUAGGCCGGGAACUCAAAGGAGACUGCCAGUGAUAAACUGGAGGAAGGUGGGGAUGACGUCAAGUCAUCAUGGCCCUUACGACCAGGGCUACACACGUGCUACAAUGGCAUAUACAAAGAGAAGCGACCUCGCGAGAGCAAGCGGACCUCAUAAAGUAUGUCGUAGUCCGGAUUGGAGUCUGCAACUCGACUCCAUGAAGUCGGAAUCGCUAGUAAUCGUAGAUCAGAAUGCUACGGUGAAUACGUUCCCGGGCCUUGUACACACCGCCCGUCACACCAUGGGAGUGGGUUGCAAAAGAAGUAGGUAGCUUAACCUUCGGGAGGGCGCUUACCACUUUGUGAUUCAUGACUGGGGUGAAGUCGUA
RNAcentral lists this ribosomal RNA (1459 nucleotides) under uncultured organism. RNAcentral's name for it is "SSU rRNA". It matches the Rfam family "Bacterial small subunit ribosomal RNA". The record is from RNAcentral.